RNAcentral lists this ribosomal RNA (164 nucleotides) under Suaeda corniculata. RNAcentral describes it as "5.8S ribosomal RNA". It matches the Rfam family "5.8S ribosomal RNA". Rfam says of the family: 5.8S ribosomal RNA (5.8S rRNA) is a component of the large subunit of the eukaryotic ribosome. It is transcribed by RNA polymerase I as part of the 45S precursor that also contains 18S and 28S rRNA. RNAcentral also lists the same sequence under 6 other names. The record is from RNAcentral. Lineage: Eukaryota; Viridiplantae; Streptophyta; Magnoliopsida; Caryophyllales; Amaranthaceae.
AUAAUGACUCUCGGCAACGGAUAUCUCGGCUCUCGCAUCGAUGAAGAACGUAGCGAAAUGCGAUACUUGGUGUGAAUUGCAGAAUCCCGUGAACCAUCGAGUCUUUGAACGCAAGUUGCGCCCGAAGCCUUCUGGCCGAGGGCACGUCUGCCUGGGCGUCACGC